This is a long non-coding RNA of Gasterosteus aculeatus aculeatus (three-spined stickleback), 1020 nucleotides long. The record is from Ensembl. NCBI's taxonomy places the organism in Eukaryota, Metazoa, Chordata, Actinopteri, Perciformes, Gasterosteidae.
AAAAGCUUACGGCACCUGGGAUUCCCAGGCGGUCUUCCAUCCAAGUACUAACCAGGCCCUACUCUGCUUAGCUUCUGAGAUCAGACGAGAUCAGGCGGAGCCAGAGAGGUAUGGCCGUAAGCAACUGUAUGUCCUCUACCUAAUCUUUUAAAAUGUGUCAAAGGUUUUGGAGAUUUGAUAAUGAAAAAGGAGUCACUUUCUAAGGCCUUCUCUGUGUCUUUUACAGAUAGAAAUGAAAAAGCAUACGGCACCUGGGAUUCCCAGGCGGUCUUCCAUCCCAGUACUAACCAGGCCCUACUCUGCUUAGCUUCUGAGAUCAGACGAGAUCAGGCGGAGCCAGAGAGGUAUGGCCGUAAGCAACUGUAUGUCCUCUACCUAAUCUUUUAAAAUGUGUCAAAGGUUUUGUAGUUUUGACAAUAAAAUGGAGUCACUUUCUAAGGCCUUCUCUGUGUCUUUUACAGAUAGAAAUGAAAAAGCUUACGGCACCUGGGAUUCCCAGGCGGUCUUCCAUCCAAGUACUAACCAGGCCCUACUCUGCUUAGCUUCUGAGAUCAGACGAGAUCAGGCGGAGCCAGAGAGGUAUGGCCGUAAGCAACUGUAUGUCCUCUACCUAAUCUUUUAAAAUGUGUCAAAGGUUUUGUAGUUUUGACAAUGAAAUGGAGUCACUUUCUAAGUUCUUCUCUGUGUCUUUUACAGAUAGAAAUGAAAAAGCUUACGGCACCUGGGAUUCCCAGGCGGUCUUCCAUCCAAGUACUAACCAGGCCCUACUCUGCUUAGCUUCUGAGAUCAGACGAGAUCAGGCGGAGCCAGAGAGGUAUGGCCGUAAGCAACUGUAUGUCCUCUUCCUAAUCUUUUAAAAUGUGUCAAAGGUUUUGGAGUUUUGACAAUGAAAUGGAGUCACUUUCUAAGUUCUUCUCUGUGUCUUUUACAGAUAGAAAUGAAAAAGCUUACGGCACCUGGGAUUCCCAGGCGGUCUUCCAUCCAAGUACUAACCAGGCCCUACUCUGCUUAGCUUCUGAG